RNAcentral lists this transfer RNA (58 nucleotides) under Centrorhynchus aluconis. RNAcentral's name for it is "tRNA-His". Lineage: Eukaryota; Metazoa; Acanthocephala; Palaeacanthocephala; Polymorphida; Centrorhynchidae. The record is from RNAcentral.
GGGACAGGUGUGGUAGGGAGUAUAUUUUAUUGUGGUUAAAGUGAGGGGACCUGUAGUG